RNAcentral lists this unclassified non-coding RNA (261 nucleotides) under Hevea brasiliensis (rubber tree). The record is from RNAcentral. Lineage: Eukaryota; Viridiplantae; Streptophyta; Magnoliopsida; Malpighiales; Euphorbiaceae.
GGAAAAUCGACUGUGAUCAGUCUAAUAGUGAGGUUCUAUGAUCCACAGGCUGGUGAAGUUCUGAUUGAUGGUAUAAAUAUCAAAGAAUUUCAGCUUCGGUGGAUCAGGGGAAAAAUUGGCCUUGUUAGCCAAGAACCUGUGCUGUUUGGUUCGACGAUAAAGGAUAAUAUUGCCUACGGGAAGGAUGAUGCAACACUUGAAGAAAUUAAAGAUGCAGUUCGACUUGCCAAUGCAUCCAAAUUCAUUGAUAAAUUACCUCAG